RNAcentral lists this ribosomal RNA (493 nucleotides) under uncultured bacterium. RNAcentral describes it as "partial 16S ribosomal RNA". It matches the Rfam family "Bacterial small subunit ribosomal RNA", at positions 29 to 507 of the family's 1533-position model. The record is from RNAcentral.
ACGAACGCUGGCGGCGUGCUUCACACCUGCAAGUCGAACGGUGAAGCGCCUUCCUUUUUGGUGGGUGUGGAUGAGUGGCGAACGGGUGAGUAACACGUGAGUAACCUGCCCCCUUCUUCUGGAUAACCGCAUGAAAGUGUGGCUAAUACGGGAUAUUCUGGGUCUGUCGCAUGAUGGGUCUGGGAAAGAUAUUGUUUCGGUGGGGGAUGGGCUCGCGGCCUAUCAGCUUGUUGGUGGGGUGAUGGCCUACCAAGGCGGUGACGGGUAGCCGGCCUGAGAGGGUGGACGGUCACACUGGGACUGAGACACGGCCCAGACUCCUACGGGAGGCAGCAGUGGGGAAUAUUGCACAAUGGGUGCAAGCCUGAUGCAGCGACGCCGCGUGAGGGAUGGAGGCCUUCGGGUUGUGAACCUCUUUCGCCAGUGAAGCAGGCCUGCCUCGUUUGUGGGUGGGUUGACGGUAGCUGGAUAAGAAGCGCCGGCUAACUACGUG